UUUGAUCAUGGCUCAGGAUGAACGCUAGCGGCAGGCUUAACACAUGCAAGUCGAGGGGCAGCAGGUCUUCGGAUGCUGGCGACCGGCGCACGGGUGCGUAACGCGUAUGCAACCUACCCUAUACAGGGGGAUAGCCCGAGGAAACUCGGAUUAAUACCCCAUAGAUUAUAUAUACCGCAUGGUAUUGUAUAAUAAAAUUACGAUGGUAUAGGAUGGGCAUGCGUGACAUUAGGUAGUUGGAGAGGUAACGGCUCACCAAGCCUACGAUGUCUAGGGGUCCUGAGAGGGUUACCCCCCACACUGGUACUGAGACACGGACCAGACUCCUACGGGAGGCAGCAGUGAGGAAUAUUGGUCAAUGGGCGGAAGCCUGAACCAGCCAUGCCGCGUGCAGGAAGACGGCCCUAUGGGUUGUAAACUGCUUUUAUACAGGAGGAAUUCUGCUACGUGUAGCAGGUUGACAGUACUGUACGAAUAAGCACCGGCUAACUCCGUG
This 496-nucleotide ribosomal RNA is filed under the name uncultured bacterium. Its description in RNAcentral is "bacterial SSU rRNA". It matches the Rfam family "Bacterial small subunit ribosomal RNA", at positions 12 to 507 of the family's 1533-position model. The record is from RNAcentral.